GCCUCUGUUGUCUAAUUCACAUUUAAAACUCAUAUCAAUGUUGAAUAUUGCAGUUUGGUGGAAUCGAUCAAAUACAUUUGCAAAUACGUCACCAAAGAAAGCAACAUGGCGGUUAUUGGCCUUGGACGAGAUGAGAUAAUUCGAGCGUAUUCAGUUUCCAGUGAAAAUUGCAUUUGCGAUAACAAUCAGCAGAACACAAGGAUAGUCGCUAGAAGUAUGUGGCGUGUUUACGUGUAGGAAAACUAUCUUCUUUGUACAUACAUUUACGCAGCGAAACAGAAACCAAAAAAUGCUGUUUAACAAGCUGCGUUAUAUUGAAAAAAUUUAGAAAAAUCGAAAAUAAAUGAUUUUUAACACAACGUAAA
Molecule: long non-coding RNA, 365 nt
Organism: Bactrocera dorsalis (oriental fruit fly)
Lineage: Eukaryota; Metazoa; Arthropoda; Insecta; Diptera; Tephritidae
Exons: 2
Source: RefSeq, a predicted model, not a curated record